AGCUGGCUGGAUUUCUUUUGCGGCUUCGAGGCUCGUGGAACGGUGAACGUGCGGGCUGGCUUCGGUGGAUGGAGGGACGCGUGGAGAAGCUGCAGGAGCGGCCGAUGCUGGCGUCGAUGGGUGGUCAACACCAAGGGAUUCAAGGGAGCGUUGAUGCUGGAUGGUUAACUCGGUGGACGUGGGGUGAUGGUGGAAGAUGGGAUGAUGAUAGAUGGUGAUGAUGUGGUGGUGGAGAUGGAUGGGUGAUGAGGACGAAAUGAUAGUGGAGGCCUGCGUUUGUGGCCGACCAAGAAGAGAAAUGGAGCACGUGGGGGGGAAAGAAAAUGGUUGAGACGGUGGCCUUCCCU
Molecule: long non-coding RNA, 347 nt
Filed under: Eucalyptus grandis
Lineage: Eukaryota; Viridiplantae; Streptophyta; Magnoliopsida; Myrtales; Myrtaceae
Description: long non-coding RNA (EGRA_LNC007915)
Source: RNAcentral